RNAcentral lists this ribosomal RNA (218 nucleotides) under uncultured Pseudomonas sp. RNAcentral's name for it is "partial 16S ribosomal RNA". It matches the Rfam family "Bacterial small subunit ribosomal RNA", at positions 137 to 355 of the family's 1533-position model. The record is from RNAcentral. Lineage: Bacteria; Pseudomonadati; Pseudomonadota; Gammaproteobacteria; Pseudomonadales; Pseudomonadaceae.
UGGGGGACAACGUUUCGAAAGGAACGCUAAUACCGCAUACGUCCUACGGGAGAAAGCAGGGGACCUUCGGGCCUUGCGCUAUCAGAUGAGCCUAGGUCGGAGUUAGCUAGUUGGUGAGGUAAUGGCUCACCAAGGCGACGAUCCGUAACUGGUCUGAGAGGAUGAUCAGUCACACUGGAACUGAGACACGGUCCAGACUCCUACGGGAGGCAGCAGCU